UAGUGGCGGACGGGUGAGUAACGCGUGAGAAUCUGCCUUCUGGUCGGGGACAACCAUUGGAAACGAUGGCUAAUACCGGAUGAGCCUACGGGUAAAAGAUUUAUUGCCAGAAGAGGAGCUCGCGUCUGAUUAGCUAGUUGGUGGGGUAAAAGCUCACCAAGGCAUCGAUCAGUAGCUGGUCUGAGGGGAUGACCAGCCACACUGGGACUGAGACACGGCCCAG
RNAcentral lists this ribosomal RNA (223 nucleotides) under uncultured bacterium. Its description in RNAcentral is "partial 16S ribosomal RNA". It matches the Rfam family "Bacterial small subunit ribosomal RNA", at positions 93 to 334 of the family's 1533-position model. The record is from RNAcentral.